This 232-nucleotide ribosomal RNA is filed under the name uncultured bacterium. Its description in RNAcentral is "partial 16S ribosomal RNA". It matches the Rfam family "Bacterial small subunit ribosomal RNA", at positions 99 to 334 of the family's 1533-position model. The record is from RNAcentral.
CGGACGGGUGAGUAAUGUAUGGGGAUCUGCCUGAUGGCGGGGGGUAACUACUGGAAACGGUAGCUAAUACCGCAUAACGUCGCAAGACCAAAGAGGGGGACCUUCGGGCCUCUUGCCAUCGGAUGUGCCCAGAUGGGAUUAGCUAGUAGGUGGGGUAACGGCUCACCUAGGCGACGAUCCCUAGCUGGUCUGAGAGGAUGACCAGCCACACUGGAACUGAGACACGGUCCAG